UUUUUUUUUUUUUUUUGAAAUUAAGUGUAUGAAUUCCUUGUUGAACCAAAGUUGUAUAGAGGUUAACAGUGAAGUUAUUGCGAUUGCCUUCACCUCUAAAACUUAAGAAGGCAUGGUAAUAAUUAAGAACAUGGAAAUGUUGCAGAGGAGGCUUCAUGGGUUUCUGCAACUCCAAUUCAAGAAAAUACUUAAAAAGAUAUUAUGGAUUAGCUGGUGGAAAGCAAAAAUCGUUCAUAGGGUUAGAGAAUGGAAAAAAAUGAAUAAAAGCCCAACAGUAAGAUGGGGAAAAAAAUGAAGGGGUGGGUCGAUUAUUUCAGUGUUCCAGGAAGUUUCUCUUUAGCUUGAGAGUGGAAAAUGAGCCACACGGAUUAUCCAUGAUCUGAUGUUCAUAGAAUUUUAUUGUUUCCCUGGUGAGUAUUUUCAGAUUUGGCCAGAUUAUUGAUCAGA
RNAcentral lists this unclassified non-coding RNA (447 nucleotides) under Hevea brasiliensis (rubber tree). The record is from RNAcentral. Lineage: Eukaryota; Viridiplantae; Streptophyta; Magnoliopsida; Malpighiales; Euphorbiaceae.